This is a non-coding RNA of Omnitrophica WOR_2 bacterium RBG_13_44_8b, 73 nucleotides long. The record is from Rfam. Lineage: Bacteria; Pseudomonadati; Candidatus Omnitrophota.
GGGGCCGUAGCGUAGUUGGGAGCGCACAACACUGGCAGUGUUGGGGUCGAGGGUUCGAAUCCCUCCGGCUCCA